This 475-nucleotide ribosomal RNA is filed under the name uncultured bacterium. Its description in RNAcentral is "bacterial SSU rRNA". It matches the Rfam family "Bacterial small subunit ribosomal RNA", at positions 791 to 1267 of the family's 1533-position model. The record is from RNAcentral.
UAGUCCACGCCGUAAACGAUGUUCACUGGUUGCUAGCGAUAUAUUGUUAGUGACUGAGCGAAAGCAUUAAGUGAACCACCUGGGGAGUACGUUCGCAAGAAUGAAACUCAAAGGAAUUGACGGGGGCCCGCACAAGCGGAGGAACAUGUGGUUUAAUUCGAUGAUACGCGAGGAACCUUACCUGGGCUCAAACGCAGAUUGACAGGACAAGAGAUUGUUUUUUCUUCGGACAAUUUGCGAGGUGCUGCAUGGUUGUCGUCAGCUCGUGCCGUGAGGUGUCGGGUUAAGUCCCAUAACGAGCGCAACCCCUAUCAUUAGUUGCCAGCGGAUCAUGCCGGGGACUCUAAUGAGACUGCCACCGUAAGGUGAGAGGAAGGUGGGGAUGACGUCAAAUCAGCACGGGCCCUUACGUCCAGGGGCUACACACGUGUUACAAUGGGCCGGUACAAAGGGGCAGCUACCUAGCGAUAGGGAU